Molecule: non-coding RNA, 1435 nt
Organism: Microcebus murinus (gray mouse lemur)
Lineage: Eukaryota; Metazoa; Chordata; Mammalia; Primates; Cheirogaleidae
Source: RefSeq, a predicted model, not a curated record
AAGGCAGGAGGUCAGGGAAGAGGGCGGUUCAGGGAAGCGGGCGUGGUCGCCUGAUGGAAGCAAAGCCGCCCACGGGAUUCCAGCGCAGGUGCCCACAAUCGGCAAUCUGGCCCUGCCGCCUGCUUCCUCUGCCACCUUGGGCAAGUUCCUUGACCCGCUCUGUGCCUCAGUUUCCCCACCAGUAAAACCGGGAUGACUGAUUCCCUGCCUCCCGGAGCUCCGUGAGGAAGGAGGGAGCUACCUGAGCCUCUUCUCUGGCCAUCUGUCAUUCUCUGCUUCUCCACCUGCCCAGGGAGGCAGACGGGGCAGACUCCGCUACCCCGAUGACGUGGGGCCCAGAGAGGCUCCGGGACUGUGCCCGGGACACACAGCCACCUGUUGCUUGGCGUGCAGGCCCCGACCUUCCUGCGGAGGCCUGGCGAGACCUGCGGCCUCCACACGUCUACCCGGCUGCUGUGCACGAACGCCUUCCGGAGAGAAGAUAAUUAUUAACCGCGGAGGCUUAAUGAGGAGACGGACCUACAAGGCUCCCUAAUACCAAUAAUUUGUACCUGUUUAAGAGCAAAGGUGUAACAACAAAGGCGACUGGAAACUACGACAUCACAUGCCCCAUCUCCUGCCUCCAGGACGGCGGGAGCUGCAGGCACCCCCAGACGGCACCCAGAGCCAGCGCCCUCCGCACUCCGCCUCUCGAGACACGACGCGGUCUGGGGGUGGACGGCCCCCUUAGGAGCCGACCCUUCCUGCUCCUGAGCCGCAGCCACGUGGCUCCCACAGCCAGCGAGGUCGGCCGGGCGGCGCUCGGCGGUGCCACUGAAGCUCGUGCGUGUGCGUGCAGGUUCCCAGGGCGAGUUCCGGGGUCCAGAUGUGCUGCCCAGCCUGGUGGGUGUGAAAGGAAGCCCUGCCCUGGCCACCUUGCCGACCUCACCCUGCAGCGGAAACACCUAGACGGCCACCUCCCGGGACUGCAGAGCCGCCAGACGAGAAGGUGGCACGAGGAGAACCGCCUUGCCCAGGUGCAAAGUGCCACCCGGGUCGGCACAGCAUGUCCCCCCCCCCCCGAGUGCAGUUCUGGGUCCUGGUGUCCUCCGGCCGGAAGACAUCCUCAGACCCAUGGGUCCUGCACCCCGACUUCCAUCUGACAGGACAGGAGGCAGGAGAGGGAUAUGCUGGGUCACCUGGAAAGGUUUCAGCCAAGCCUGGGGAGAACCUGGGCUCCUGCAAGUCCCCACCCGAAGCCUCCUUCCAGACGCCCCUGUCCUCAGCCUCAGAGUUUUUAUGUUACGAUAACAGAGGAAUAAAAAGACGGUCGCCUGUGCACUCUAGGGCCGUAAUUCUUGCACUCAGAAAACACUUUCGAACCUGGCCUCGGCGGGAAACGUGUCGAACAGAGCGAGCAUCUCAGAGCCAGGGCAGCGUCGCCACGGCUACAGAC